Molecule: long non-coding RNA, 490 nt
Filed under: Homo sapiens (human)
Lineage: Eukaryota; Metazoa; Chordata; Mammalia; Primates; Hominidae
Description: HSALNT0374881
Source: RNAcentral
GCUCUUAUCUUAGGGAAGAGGAAGAGAAAAAAGGAACUAUCUUUGACUUUAUCCAAUAAGAACUUGUGAAAGUUGUCAGAGUCAAAAUGGAGCCACUUGUGUUAAAGACUGUGCCAAGUGGCAUCGAGGAUGGCCGUGAACGGAGGGUUCUUAUGCACAAAUGCCUGACGGCAACGACUAUCACAAAAGACUCCGCAAAAACCACAACCUUGUGAAAGAAAGGCCCACCACAACCUUACUACACACAAAAAAACUUCUGCAAGGACAUCUGCACAGCAACUUCCUGUCUAACCUUGGACCGGCACCACCCUUGUUAUGGAUCCUUAUAGCUAACAAUAAUUAUCACAAAACAAUUUUAUAAUCUUCUUCAUUUUUCCUUUAAAAAUAUUUGUCUUCCUUUACCUACCUGAGCUGAGCAUGCAUGUAGUUUGCUAUGGUAUGUAUAUUGCUGUUACAAUGCCCAUUUUUGAAUAAAUAUCCUUUUCUUUCA